This 174-nucleotide unclassified non-coding RNA is filed under the name uncultured Xenostigmina. RNAcentral's name for it is "sequence contains ITS1". Lineage: Eukaryota; Fungi; Ascomycota; Dothideomycetes; Mycosphaerellales; Mycosphaerellaceae. The record is from RNAcentral.
AACGAUUUCUGUGAGGCGGGAGCCGCCCGGUCCGCCGGUCGGCCUCCCGCUGAGGAUGAACCCGUGCACAUCGACUACGUUGCUUUGGGGGUCACCGCGUCCCCGCGACGCGGGCCCCCAGAGGUUCGAAACCCUUGAAUUCAACGGCCGUCCGAGUCGCAAGUAAAUAAGUUA